UGUGAUGUUAUAUUGCUUUCAAGGCCUUCCUUAAGACCUGAAGAACAAUUUUUGGAAACCCUCUCCUUCAUUGGGCAGGGUG
Molecule: small nuclear RNA, 82 nt
Filed under: Caenorhabditis remanei
Lineage: Eukaryota; Metazoa; Nematoda; Chromadorea; Rhabditida; Rhabditidae
Description: SmY spliceosomal RNA
Rfam family: SmY spliceosomal RNA
Source: Rfam by way of RNAcentral